This 453-nucleotide ribosomal RNA is filed under the name uncultured Prevotellaceae bacterium. RNAcentral's name for it is "partial 16S ribosomal RNA". It matches the Rfam family "Bacterial small subunit ribosomal RNA", at positions 341 to 792 of the family's 1533-position model. Lineage: Bacteria; Pseudomonadati; Bacteroidota; Bacteroidia; Bacteroidales; Prevotellaceae. The record is from RNAcentral.
ACGGAAGGCAGCAGUGAGGAAUAUUGGUCAAUGGACGAGAGUCUGAACCAGCCAAGUAGCGUGAAGGAUGACUGCCCUAUGGGUUGUAAACUUCUUUUGUUCGGGAAUAAAGUGAGGGACGUGUCCCUUAUUGCAUGUACCGUUCGAAUAAGCAUCGGCUAAUUCCGUGCCAGCAGCCGCGGUAAUACGGAAGAUGCGAGCGUUAUCCGGAUUUAUUGGGUUUAAAGGGAGCGUAGGCGGACUGUUAAGUCAGCUGUGAAAUGUCAUGGCCCAACCUUGGCAUGCCGUUGAAACUGGCGGUCUUGAAUACACACAAGGAAGGUGGAAUUCGUCGUGUAGCGGUGAAAUGCUUAGAUAUGACGAAGAACUCCGAUUGCGAAGGCAGCCAUCUGGGGUGCGAUUGACGCUGAGGCUCGAAAGUGCGGGAAUCAAACAGGAUUAGAUACCCUGGUA